UUUAAGUGCAGCCAUAAGUUUCCGUAUCCAAUUUUAAUUAUUUGUUUAUUUAAAAAAUUUAUAAUUAGUAUUUUUAUCAUUAUUAGAUGAUAAAACAUAAAUAAUACUUUAUGCGUGACUUAUGUUUUUAAUUUUUUCUAAAAACCUUUUUAAAUAAGACGUACAAUCAAAGUUUGGCAUGAAAAAUUAUAGCAACACUUAAA
MicroRNA precursor from Oryza rufipogon (brownbeard rice), 203 nucleotides. It matches the Rfam family "MIR812 microRNA precursor family". The record is from Rfam. Lineage: Eukaryota; Viridiplantae; Streptophyta; Magnoliopsida; Poales; Poaceae.